GACGAACGCUGGCGGCGUGCCUAAUACAUGCAAGUAGAACGCACAGUUUAUACCGUAGCUUGCUACACCAUAAACUGUGAGUUGCGAACGGGUGAGUAACGCGUAGGUAACCUGCCUGGUAGCGGGGGAUAACUAUUGGAAACGAUAGCUAAUAACGCAUAAUAUUGAUUAUUGCAUGAUAAUUGAUUGAAAGAUGCUAUUGCAUCACUACCAGAUGGACCUGCGUUGUAUUAGCUAGUAGGUGAGGUAACGGCUCACCUAGGCGACGAUACAUAGCCGACCUGAGAGGGUGAUCGGCCACACUGGGACUGAGACACGGCCCAGACUCCUACGGGAGGCAGCAGUAGGGAAUCUUCGGCAAUGGACGAAAGUCUGACCGAGCAACGCCGAGUGAGUGAAGAAUGGUUUCGGAUCGUAAAGCUCUGUUGUAAGAGAAGAACGGGUGUGAGAGUGGAAAGUUCACACUGUGACGGUAUCUUACCAGAAAGGGACGGCUAACUACGUG
This 505-nucleotide ribosomal RNA is filed under the name uncultured bacterium. RNAcentral's name for it is "partial 16S ribosomal RNA". It matches the Rfam family "Bacterial small subunit ribosomal RNA", at positions 28 to 507 of the family's 1533-position model. The record is from RNAcentral.